AACGCUGGCGGCAUGCCUAAGACAUGCAAGUCGAACGAAGUGGCCCAUUGAAGAUGGAGUGCUUGCACAAUAUUGGAUUGGAUUCCACUGAGUGGCAAACGGGUGAGUAACACAUGGGUUACCUACCUCCUAGUCGGGGAUAACAGUUGGAAACGAUUGCUAAUACCGGAUGUGCUCUACGGAGUAAAGAAGCCCUUAAAGCUUCGCUAGGAGAUGGGCCUGUGGCGCAUUAGCUAGUUGGUGAGGUAAUGGCCCACCAAGGCAACGAUGCGUAGCCGAACUGAGAGGUUGAUCGGCCACAUUGGGACUGAGACACGGCCCAGACUCCUACGGGAGACAGCAGUUAGGAAUAUUCGUCAAUGGGGGCAACCCUGAACGAGCAAUGCCGCGUGAGUGAAUGAAGGUCCUCUGGAUUGUAAAACUCUGUUGUUUAGGAAAAAUUGUACAAGUAGGAAAUGAUUUGUACUUGAUGUUACUAUUCAAGAAAGCCACGGCUAACUACGUGCCAGCCGCGGC
This 516-nucleotide ribosomal RNA is filed under the name uncultured bacterium. RNAcentral's name for it is "bacterial SSU rRNA". It matches the Rfam family "Bacterial small subunit ribosomal RNA", at positions 32 to 518 of the family's 1533-position model. The record is from RNAcentral.